Pseudomonas putida is the source of this 282-nucleotide non-coding RNA. The record is from Rfam. NCBI's taxonomy places the organism in Bacteria, Pseudomonadati, Pseudomonadota, Gammaproteobacteria, Pseudomonadales, Pseudomonadaceae.
UCGUCGACCUGCUGCGGGCAGAUGAAAUGAAUGUGCGAGUCGAUGCCGCCGGCGGUGACGAUCUUGCCCUCGGCGGCGAUCACCUCGGUGCCCGGCCCCACCGCCAGGGUCACGCCGGGCUGCACGUCGGGGUUGCCGGCCUUGCCGAUGCCGAAGAUGCGCCCGUUCUUCACGCCGAUAUCGGCCUUGACGAUGCCCCAGUGGUCGAUGAUCAGGGCGUUGGUCAGCACCAGGUCCAUGGCCUCGGCGGCCAGCAUCUGGCCCUGGCCCAUGCCGUCGCGG